This 343-nucleotide unclassified non-coding RNA is filed under the name soil metagenome. RNAcentral's name for it is "partial contains 5.8S ribosomal RNA, internal transcribed spacer 2, and large subunit ribosomal RNA". The stretch from base 1 to 120 matches the Rfam family "5.8S ribosomal RNA", at positions 35 to 154 of the family's 154-position model. The record is from RNAcentral.
GAUGAAGAACGCAGCGAAAUGCGAUAAGUAAUGUGAAUUGCAGAAUCCAGUGAAUCAUCGAAUCUUUGAACGCACAUUGCGCCCGCCAGCAUUCUGGCGGGCAUGCCUGUUCGAGCGUCAUUUCAACCCUCGACCUCCCUUUGGGGAAGUCGGCGUUGGGGACCGGCAGCACACCGCCGGCCCUGAAAUGGAGUGGCGGCCCGUCCGCGGCGACCUCUGCGUAGUAAACCAACUCGCACCGGAACCCCGAAGUGGCCACGCCGUAAAACACCCAACUUCUGAACGUUGACCUCGAAUCAGGUAGGACUACCCGCUGAACUUAAGCAUAUCAAUAAGCGGAGGA